This is an RNA transcript of Carya illinoinensis, 1830 nucleotides long. RefSeq lists it as uncharacterized. The transcript is spliced from 6 exons. The record is from RefSeq and is a predicted model, not a curated record. Lineage: Eukaryota; Viridiplantae; Streptophyta; Magnoliopsida; Fagales; Juglandaceae.
CUCAAUGGCAGUCUGGGACUUAAGGAAGCAUAGAUAAAGAUAAGUGAGAGAGAGAGAGAGAGAGGCGGUAUAAAGAAGAAGAAGAAGGAGAAUCCCCACACAGAACAGAACUUUAAGAGGCGAAAAGAAGUCCAACCCGUAAAACCCAUAACAACAAGAGCCUCUCACAACGCAGGCAAAAGUAAUUUCAAUUACUCUAGAAUUAUAGAGAGAGAGAGAGAGAGAGAGAGAGAGAGAGAGAGAGAGAGAGAGAGAGAGAGAGAGAGAAGGAUCUGGGAUCUCUUUUGUUUUGGUGAUUUUUUUUUUCCUGUUAGCCCGAGAAUCCCUUCUUUGUGCGUGGAGCAGCAAAUCCUUUAAUUUGUUGGGUAGCUUGAGAAAUCUUCUUCGGUUUCUUCGCUGUAGUCAGAAUUCUUGAGGUCGGAGUCCAUUUUCUUCAACUUGCAGAUCUGUAUCUUUGACUUUCGUCUACCCGGGCGUUUUUUCAGAGCAUUCAAGGGAAACUUGGUUUUGUCCAAAUACCUACUCUGAUCCUUUCAUCUUCGUCUAGUAUUUCCCACUUGUGUGCUAUUUGAUUCAGCCGAAGAAAAGAAAACCUAAUUUUUCUUCUCCUUUCUUCAUUUUUCUUUUAAUCAGUUUUAUCUUUGCUCCUUAGUUUAGGAGGAAAUCCAGCAUCUGCUGUCUCCAAAAUUCUUCUUUCUUUGGUUUUUGCUUCUGGGAUUUCUGAGUUGAUAAGGAAGAGUCACUUGGUGUUGACAAGAAAUAAAAUUCACGUCUCUUUUCUUUUUCGUGGCAGGCAUGGAGACAGGGGAGAGGAAUACGACAACGUGUAAACCCUUAGAACCUGAACUUUUUUUACAGUGGGGAAAUAGAAAGCGAGUCAGAUGCGUGAGAGUCAAAGACCCUGAAAUAUCUGCUAGACUAAAUGGUGGAAUACGGAGGAAAAUCACAUCUAGCUUUGCUUCUGAGAAGGAAAGCUUCCAUCUUCAACCCAAUCGGCUCUCCAGGAGUACGGAGGGAAGUACGCUGCGGAAAUCGGCGUCGCUGGAGAAGGAGAGGUAUUAUAGCACGAGAGGGUCAGUGAUUGUGGAGGAAAAUGGGAAGGUAUCUGUGGAUGUGAAUAAUAAUGGCAUUGGGGAAGAGAGAGGGUUGGCUUUGCCAAAGCUGUAUAUCACUCUGUCGAGCAAAGAGAAAGAGGAGGAUUUUAUGGCUAUGAAGGGUUGUAAGCCUCCACAGAGGCCUAAGAAGAGGGCCAAGAUCAUCCAACGAAGUGUACUUUUGGUGAGUCCUGGGGCCUGGCUGACUGAUAUGUGCCAUGAGAGAUAUGAAGUUAGAGAGAAGAAGAAUUCUAAGAAGAGAUCAAGAGGAUUGAAGUCCAUGGGGAGUAUGGACAGCGAUUCAGAAUGAGAGAUGCGUAGGAUGUAUUUGCAGUCGCUGAGGCCCUUUCCUUUGGAAAUUUUUAGGAGCUGGGUUGGAGGAUGAGUUUUUCUCUUUCGGAGUGUUGGAACAAGGAAUUGAAAUGUUAAGAUCAAACUGCGAGGAGCGAGGGUAUAUGAGGACACGAUGAUGUGGAAAAGAGUCCCAACUUUGGCUUCUUUAUUUGUGGUUUGGACUUGGAUACAUUAAUUUCACCUAUUUGUGAUGGGUACAUAAAAACACAUACGCUCGGCCGAUGAUUCCCUUGGGAAAGAAUUCAAGAAUGACGUUGAGGCCAAUGCUAUCCUUGAGCUAUAUUUUUGCAUGGAGCUUUAACGUCGGUACUGGCAAAUUAAAACCUCGCUUUCUAUGGUGUAAUGUUGGCCAAGUUGAUCGAGAAACGAAUUGAGCGUGAAA